UCGUUGUAGCAAUACGAUGGAAAAUCUAGUGGCGAACGGGUGCUUAACACGUGGGCAACCUGCCGGGAAGUGGGGGAUAGCUCGCCGAAAGGCGAAUUAAUACCGCAUGUGAUUAGAGAGGACAUCCUUUCCAAAUUAAAGUCGGGGCAACCUGACGCUUCUUGUGGGGCCCGCGGCCUAUCAGCUAGUUGGUGAGGUAACGGCUCACCAAGGCUUUGACGGGUAGCUGGUCUGAGAGGACGACCAGCCACACUGGGACUGAGACACGGCCCAGACACCUACGGGUGGCAGCAGUCGAGAAUUUUUGACAAUGGGGGAAACCCUGAUCGAGCGACGCCGCGUGGAGGAUGAAGGUCUUCGGAUUGUAAACUCCUGUCAUUGGGGAACAAGGUGCAUACGUUAACUGCGUGUGCAUUGAUAGUACCCGAAGAGGAAGAGACGGCUAACUCUGUGCCAGCAGCCGCGGUAAUACAGAGGUCUCAAGCGUUGUUCGGAUUCAUUGGGCGUAAAGGGUGCGUAGGCGGCGCGGUAAGUCGGGUGUGAAAUCUCGGAGCUUAACUCCGAAACUGCAUUCGAUACUGCCGUGCUUGAGGACUGGAGAGGAGACUGGAAUUCACGGUGUAGCA
RNAcentral lists this ribosomal RNA (626 nucleotides) under uncultured Verrucomicrobiota bacterium. Its description in RNAcentral is "bacterial SSU rRNA". It matches the Rfam family "Bacterial small subunit ribosomal RNA", at positions 71 to 680 of the family's 1533-position model. The record is from RNAcentral. Lineage: Bacteria; Pseudomonadati; Verrucomicrobiota.